RNAcentral lists this ribosomal RNA (1174 nucleotides) under Fusarium sp. CHTAM72. RNAcentral's name for it is "eukaryotic LSU rRNA". The stretch from base 531 to 1174 matches the Rfam family "Eukaryotic large subunit ribosomal RNA", at positions 1 to 658 of the family's 3401-position model. Lineage: Eukaryota; Fungi; Ascomycota; Sordariomycetes; Hypocreales; Nectriaceae. The record is from RNAcentral.
CUGAGAUGUAUAAAUGUAACAAGGUCUCCGUUGGUGAACCAGCGGAGGGAUCAUUACCGAGUUUACAACUCCCAAACCCCUGUGAACAUACCUUAAUGUUGCCUCGGCGGAUCAGCCCGCGCCCCGUAAAACGGGACGGCCCGCCAGAGGACCCAAACUCUAAUGUUUCUUAUUGUAACUUCUGAGUAAAACAAACAAAUAAAUCAAAACUUUCAACAACGGAUCUCUUGGUUCUGGCAUCGAUGAAGAACGCAGCAAAAUGCGAUAAGUAAUGUGAAUUGCAGAAUUCAGUGAAUCAUCGAAUCUUUGAACGCACAUUGCGCCCGCUGGUAUUCCGGCGGGCAUGCCUGUUCGAGCGUCAUUUCAACCCUCAAGCCCUCGGGUUUGGUGUUGGGGAUCGGCUCUGCCUUCUGGCGGUGCCGCCCCCGAAAUACAUUGGCGGUCUCGCUGCAGCCUCCAUUGCGUAGUAGCUAACACCUCGCAACUGGAACGCGGCGCGGCCAUGCCGUAAAACCCCAACUUCUGAAUGUUGACCUCGGAUCAGGUAGGAAUACCCGCUGAACUUAAGCAUAUCUGAGCCGGAAGGAGAAGGAGCAAAAGAAACCAACAGGGAUUGCCCUAGUAACGGGCGAGUGAAGCGGCAACAGCUCAAAUUUGAAAUCUGGCUUUCGGGCCCGAGUUGUAAUUUGUAGAGGAUACUUUUGAUGCGGUGCCUUCCGAGUUCCCUGGAACGGGACGCCAUAGAGGGUGAGAGCCCCGUCUGGUUGGAUGCCAAAUCUCUGUAAAGUUCCUUCGACGAGUCGAGUAGUUUGGGAAUGCUGCUCUAAAUGGGAGGUAUAUGUCUUCUAAAGCUAAAUAUUGGCCAGAGACCGAUAGCGCACAAGUAGAGUGAUCGAAAGAUGAAAAGCACUUUGAAAAGAGAGUUAAAAAGUACGUGAAAUUGUUGAAAGGGAAGCGUUUAUGACCAGACUUGGACUUGGUUAAUCAUCUGGGGUUCUCCCCAGUGCACUUUUCCAGUUCAGGCCAGCAUCAGUUUUCGCCGGGGGAUAAAGGCUUCGGGAAUGUAGCUCUCUUCGGGGAGUGUUAUAGCCCGUUGUGUAAUACCCUGGUGGAGACUGAGGUUCGCGCUUCUGCAAGGAUGCUGGCGUAAUGGUCAUCAACGACCCGUCUUGGC